RNAcentral lists this transfer-messenger RNA (396 nucleotides) under Flavobacterium aurantiibacter. Its description in RNAcentral is "Standard tmRNA". It matches the Rfam family "transfer-messenger RNA". From Rfam's summary of the family: Bacterial tmRNA, also known as 10Sa RNA or SsrA, is named for its dual tRNA and mRNA-like properties. Lineage: Bacteria; Pseudomonadati; Bacteroidota; Flavobacteriia; Flavobacteriales; Flavobacteriaceae. The record is from Rfam by way of RNAcentral.
GGGGUCGACUGGUUUUGACAGCAAGUUGAAUUGGAAAAUAAGCACGUCGAGAACUGGAGUAAUUCUCGUUAAUAAAAGGCUUCACACUUUUAUACGGCGAAGGAAACUACGCUCUUGCUGCAUAAUCUGAAGUUUAGUAAGAUUAGCCUCGUCCUACCAGGUAGGAAAGCAGGAUUUACCUCAAAAGCCUUGGUUUAUGGCAUUUGGUUUAGGUAAAUCGUAAAAAUAAACCUAGGUGUUGCGAUGCUUCUAAGCGACAUCGAAGUAACAGAAGCUAAGUGUUCGGUGGCGGUUACCGGCCAAGCCAAACAUCGAAAAUCUAAGCGGUAAAUAAGCGUGUAGAAAGUUUUUUGGUUGCUUGUUUGGACCCGAGUUCGAUUCUCGGCGACUCCACAA